AACGAACGCUGGCGGCAUGCCUAACACAUGCAAGUCGAACGAGACCUUCGUGUCUAGUGGCGCACGGGUGCGUAACGCGUGGGAACCUGCCCUUAGGUUCGGAAUAACUCCCCGAAAGGGGUGCUAAUACCGGAUAAUGUCUUCGGACCAAAGAUUUAUCGCCUUUGGAUGGGCCCGCGUUGGAUUAGCUGGUUGGUAGGGUAAAAGCCUACCAAGGCGACGAUCCAUAGCUGGUGUGAGAGGAUGAUCAGCCACACUGGGACUGAGACACGGACCAGACUCCUACGGGAGGCAGCAGUGGGGAAUAUUGGACGAUGGGCGAAAGCCUGAUCCAGCCAUGCCGCGUGAGUGAUGAAGGCCGUAGGGUUGUAAAGCUCUUUUACCCGGGAUGAUAAUGACAGUACCGGGAGAAUAAGCACCGGCUAACUCCGUG
RNAcentral lists this ribosomal RNA (433 nucleotides) under uncultured bacterium. RNAcentral describes it as "partial 16S ribosomal RNA". It matches the Rfam family "Bacterial small subunit ribosomal RNA", at positions 29 to 507 of the family's 1533-position model. The record is from RNAcentral.